CAGUGAAGCAAAGGACUGGGUGCUGA
This 26-nucleotide non-coding RNA is filed under the name Homo sapiens (human). Lineage: Eukaryota; Metazoa; Chordata; Mammalia; Primates; Hominidae. The record is from RNAcentral.